This 405-nucleotide ribosomal RNA is filed under the name Serratia sp. AZTITEMP219. Its description in RNAcentral is "bacterial SSU rRNA". It matches the Rfam family "Bacterial small subunit ribosomal RNA", at positions 930 to 1335 of the family's 1533-position model. Lineage: Bacteria; Pseudomonadati; Pseudomonadota; Gammaproteobacteria; Enterobacterales; Yersiniaceae. The record is from RNAcentral.
UGGUGGNGCAUGUGGUUUAAUUCGAUGCAACGCGAAGAACCUUACCUACUCUUGACAUCCACAGAAUUCGGCAGAGAUGCCUUAGUGCCUUCGGGAACUGUGAGACAGGUGCUGCAUGGCUGUCGUCAGCUCGUGUUGUGAAAUGUUGGGUUAAGUCCCGCAACGAGCGCAACCCUUAUCCUUUGUUGCCAGCACGUAAUGGUGGGAACUCAAAGGAGACUGCCGGUGAUAAACCGGAGGAAGGUGGGGAUGACGUCAAGUCAUCAUGGCCCUUACGAGUAGGGCUACACACGUGCUACAAUGGCGUAUACAAAGAGAAGCGAACUCGCGAGAGCCAGCGGACCUCAUAAAGUACGUCGUAGUCCGGAUCGGAGUCUGCAACUCGACUCNGGAAGUNGGAAUCGC